AGAGUUUGAUCAUGGCUCAGAGCGAACGCUGGCGGCAGGCCUAACACAUGCAAGUCGAGCGGAUCCUUCGGGAUUAGUGGCGGACGGGUGAGUAACACGUGGGAACGUGCCUUUUGGUUCGGAACAACUCAGGGAAACUUGAGCUAAUACCGAAUGUGCCCUUCGGGGGAAAGAUUUAUCGCCAUUAGAGCGGCCCGCGUCUGAUUAGCUAGUUGGUGAGGUAAAGGCUCACCAAGGCUACGAUCAGUAGCUGGUCUGAGAGGAUGAUCAGCCACAUUGGGACUGAGACACGGCCCAAACUCCUACGGGAGGCAGCAGUGGGAAUCUUGCGCAAUGGGCGAAAGCCUGACGCAGCCAUGCCGCGUGAAUGAUGAAGGUCUUAGGAUUGUAAAAUUCUUUCACCGGGGACGAUAAUGACGGUACCCGGAGAAGAAGCCCCGGCUAACUUCGUG
This 452-nucleotide ribosomal RNA is filed under the name uncultured bacterium. RNAcentral's name for it is "bacterial SSU rRNA". It matches the Rfam family "Bacterial small subunit ribosomal RNA", at positions 8 to 507 of the family's 1533-position model. The record is from RNAcentral.